CAGGAGCUUGCUCCUGGGUGAGAGUGGCGAACGGGUGAGUAAUGCGUGACCGACCUGCCCCAUACACCGGAAUAGCUCUUGGAAACGGGUGGUAAUGCCGGAUGCUCCAGUUGGAUGCAUGUCCUUCUGGGAAAGAUUCAUCGGUAUGGGAUGGGGUCGCGUCCUAUCAGCUUGAUGGCGGGGUAACGGCCCACCAUGGCUUCGACGGGUAGCCGGCCUGAGAGGGCGACCGGCCACAUUGGGACUGAGAUACGGCCCAGACUCCUACGGGAGGCAGCAGUGGGGAAUAUUGCACAAUGGGCGCAAGCCUGAUGCAGCGACGCCGCGUGCGGGAUGACGGCCUUCGGGUUGUAAACCGCUUUUGACUGGGAGCAAGCCCUUCGGGGUGAGUGUACCUUUCGAAUAAGCACCGGCUAACUACGUGCCAGCAGCCGCGGUAAUACGUAGGGUGCAAGCGUUAUCCGGAAUUAUUGGGCGUAAAGGGCUCGUAGGCGGUUCGUCGCGUCCGGUGUGAAAGUCCAUCGCUUAACGGUGGAUCCGCGCCGGGUACGGGCGGGCUUGAGUGCGGUAGGGGAGACUGGAAUUCCCGGUGUAACGGUGGAAUGUGUAGAUAUCGGGAAGAACACCAAUGGCGAAGGCAGGUCUCUGGGCCGUCACUGACGCUGAGGAGCGAAAGCGUGGGGAGCGAACAGGAUUAGAUACCCUGGUAGUCCACGCCGUAAACGGUGGAUGCUGGAUGUGGGGACCAUUCCACGGUCUCCGUGUCGGANCCAACGCGUUAAGCAUCCCGCCUGGGGAGUACGGCCGCAAGGCUAAAACUCAAAGAAAUUGACGGGGGCCCGCACAAGCGGCGGANCAUGCGGAUUAAUUCGAUGCAACGCGAAGAACCUUACCUGGGCUUGACAUGUUCCCGACAGCCGUAGAGAUACGGUCUCCCUUCGGGGCGGGUUCACAGGUGGUGCAUGGUCGUCNUCAGCUCGUGUCGUGNNAUGUUGGGUUAAGUCCCGCAACNAGCGCA
RNAcentral lists this ribosomal RNA (1018 nucleotides) under Bifidobacterium adolescentis. RNAcentral's name for it is "bacterial SSU rRNA". It matches the Rfam family "Bacterial small subunit ribosomal RNA", at positions 73 to 1100 of the family's 1533-position model. RNAcentral also lists the same sequence under 1 other name. The record is from RNAcentral. Lineage: Bacteria; Bacillati; Actinomycetota; Actinomycetes; Bifidobacteriales; Bifidobacteriaceae.